Molecule: long non-coding RNA, 523 nt
Filed under: Equus asinus (donkey)
Lineage: Eukaryota; Metazoa; Chordata; Mammalia; Perissodactyla; Equidae
Description: lncRNA (ENSEASG00005029141.1)
Source: RNAcentral
UGGGGAGACAAUGGGCUUUGGGGGUGGGGGGGCACUCCGUGCAGAUCACUGCUGCAGCAGAGGCCUUGUGUGCCCUGCUCUGUGAACCCCCUGACCCUGGCUGUGGGGCUGAGAGAGAGGAGCAUGGGGGUCAGCCUUGGUAAUCACUCCUCACUUGUGGGCACAAAACUACUGCUGUAGACACUCAAGAGAGGCCAUCUUCAAGGCUCCGAAACAGCAAAGCUGCAGAGGAAUCGAGGACUUAAAGCUGUUUUGGAAUAUGCAACAAAUGAUCAGAGGGGACACGUGGUAUUUGCAUGGAAAACAGAACUUGCCCUAGGGAAAAGGACGACAAUCCCUUCACCUUUCAAUCAGCAGCAGAGGGAACCCAAACCUUUUAAACGUCUGUCACUCAUCCUUCCAUUAGGAUGCCCUCAGCCCAGAGCCUCGUUCACAGGGAGCGUUCAAGAAAUGAGAAUUCCUAUCUCCCUCACCAUUAUUAUUAAACUUAUUAGUACACAUUCAAUGCUGGGGCUGAAUAAAG